Molecule: RNase MRP RNA, 553 nt
Filed under: Exophiala sideris
Lineage: Eukaryota; Fungi; Ascomycota; Eurotiomycetes; Chaetothyriales; Herpotrichiellaceae
Description: Exophiala sp. SST-2011 RNase MRP
Rfam family: RNase MRP
About the family: RNase MRP is an enzymatically active ribonucleoprotein with two distinct roles in eukaryotes. In mitochondria it plays a direct role in the initiation of mitochondrial DNA replication. In the nucleus it is involved in precursor rRNA processing, where it cleaves the internal transcribed spacer 1 between 18S and 5.8S rRNAs.
Source: Rfam by way of RNAcentral
UCCGCGCUCAAAGAAUCGCAUUCAAAGCUCACGCACAGCAGUGCCCUUGUGGUCUGCAUACCCUUUACAGCUUUGGGAGAAAGUCCCCGGACCACCCUACCCUUUGACUCUGUCAAGGAACGUCAGGACUUGCCGCGAGGCGCCGCCAUAAAAGCAUUUUCACUGCGGCUCUUAUUUUACACUCUGCCUCCCACUCUCCUUUAGCACGCCUGCUUCGACGACCCCGACCUCGUCGUCGUUUGUACUCCUCGUCGAUUUCUGCCUUGUCGCCAUGUCCGAUGCAGAUGGGUGUCUGGAUGGAUGAAGAUAUGAGUCCGUCCCUUGGGUUUCGGCUAGACAUCUCGAUGUGGAAGAUUGGUGUACUUUGGUUUGAGGUCGCAGGAAGAGAUGGCGAGGGUUUAUACUGGGGGUUGUUGAGUGGGAUUGUGCUUUUGGAUCAAAGAGUGAUUUUGGAGGUUGCGCAAUUCGUCACAUGAGUAUAGUUAUGCGAUUGCUCGGUCCAUCUGGAAACAGGUGGCGGAGUAACUCGAUGGGGCUUAUUCUUGAGGCGCGG